UACAGAGGUCUCAAGCGUUGUUCGGAUUCAUUGGGCGUAAAGGGUGCGUAGGCGGCGCGGUAAGUCGGGUGUGAAAUCUCGGAGCUUAACUCCGAAACUGCAUUCGAUACUGCCGUGCUUGAGGACUGGAGAGGAGACUGGAAUUUACGGUGUAGCGGUGAAAUGCGUAGAUAUCGUAAGGAAGACCAGUGGCGAAGGCGGGGUCGUCUGGGCCACUACUGACGCUGAGAAGCGAAAGCAUGGGGAGCGAACAGG
This 255-nucleotide ribosomal RNA is filed under the name uncultured bacterium. RNAcentral describes it as "partial 16S ribosomal RNA". It matches the Rfam family "Bacterial small subunit ribosomal RNA", at positions 524 to 776 of the family's 1533-position model. The record is from RNAcentral.